AUGAUGGAUGUCACGACCCGGUGGAACAGCUCGCUGGAUAUGCUGGGCCGUUUCCUCGAGCAGCAGCCAGCCAUCUCAGCAGCGCUGCUGUCCCCCGACGUCCGCAGGAGGGAGAAUGACCUCUGCACAUUGACUGAGACGGACAUCACCACUGCAGAGGACGUGGUUAGAUGCCUCGGACCCAUGGAGACCGCCACCCUAGCCAUCUCUGAGGAGGAGUCCACUACCAUGUCAAUGGUUGCCCCGCUGCAAUUUCAACUGCUUAAUCAGAUGGCAUGCACUGCCGAAGACACGUCCAUCAUUAAGGAGCUCAAAACUGCUGUCCACCAGAACUUAAGUUCAAGAUAUGAAGGCCUGAAGGAGACCUUGUGUGUAGCAUCAUCCUUGGAUCCACGUUUCAAGACCCUACCGUUCCUGUCUGAUGAGGCACGUGAUGCUGUCUUCUUGAAAUUGACCUCUGAAGCUGCUCAUCCAAACCCAUCAACCGAUGUAAGUUUGCAGAUUAUAUAGUUUGCCCAUUUGAAUAUUUAGACUAUUUUUUCUUAAUUGAGCUGCAAAAGACUGAAUUCCGGUUAAUUUGUGUAUUAUUUUCUUUUGUAAUAUUAUUCUGCAUCAGAACACUACACCAGAGCAAGAGAACACCCAUGGUUCAAUGGAUGUGGCUGCACCUGCACCAGCACCUGCACCAACUCAACCAAAGAGGCCCAAAGACUCUGCUCUGAUGGCUUUACUGGGGCCGGCGUACACACCACCAACUCCACUACAGAAAAAAACAACAACUGAAAGGGCAGAGGAAGAGAUCGCCACCUACAGGAAAGUGCCAGCUAUUCCUCUUUCACAAAAUCCACUGACAUGGUGGCAGGUGCAUGCAGAGGAUUUCACUCUUUUGGCAGGCCUUGCAAAGCAAUAUCUUUGCAUACCUGGGACCAGUGUCCCAUCUGAACGAGUUUUCUCAACAGCUGGAGACAUUGUUAGUGCUCAAAGGAGCUGCCUCACUCCACAGCAUGUUGACCAGCUCCUUUUUCUCCAGAAAAAUUACACAAUUCCUGAAGACUUCUCAGUCAGGCAUCAUUUUUUCACUUUGUUCUUGUGGCUGAGCUGGUUGGUUGGUUCCUGUCUAUUGUUUUACUCCUGCCAUGGGUAGGCCUAUGUUAUUACCAUCUAGCACACUUUUACAUACAUUCAGCCCAAGGCAGGCCUGCCCCCCUCCCUCCCUCCCUCCCUCCCUCCCUCCCUCCCUCCCUCCCUCCCUCUCUCUCUCUCUCUCUCUCUCUCUCUCUCUCUCUCUCUCUCUCUCUCUCUCUCUCUCUCUCUCUCUCUCUCUCUCUCUCUCUCUCUCUCUCUCUCUCUCUCUCUCUCUCUCUCUCUCUCUCUCUCUCUCUCUCUCUCUCUCUCUCUCUCUCUCUCUCCCCCCCUCCCUCCCUCCCUCCCUCCCUCCCUGUAUGGAAUUUCACAAGUCUCUGGUUGUCAAAGACUGGGUACAGGGGUUCUUGUAGUUUUCUAAUAUAGAGGGCCACUUAAUUUUAAUUAAUUUAUAUUUUAUUUGGUCAUUGUUGUUUAGUUCUGGUCAUUGUUUUUAUUCUGCCAUGGAUAUGUUACUUAAAUUUCAAAUAAUACUUGGAUUUUUGUCUAAAAUAAAUACUUGAUUCUUGACUCUUCUCUCUCUGUGUCCCUCUUACACGUACACAGAUACAAUCACAAACACAUGGAGCUGUUUUGUCUAUGGGACAGGAUUUAUUUGCAUUAUGUCUGUAAAUACAUCGAUAUCGAAUCGAAUCGGAUCGUGACCUUAUGAAUCGGAAUCGGAUCGAUCCAGGGAAUUCGGAUCGAUUCCCAGCCCUAAUAUAUAUAUAUAUAUAUAUAUAUAUAUAUAUAUAUAUAUAUAUAUAUAUAUAUAUAUGUGUGUGUGUGUGUGUGUGUGUGUGUGUGUGUGUGUGUGUGUGUGUGUGUGUGUGUGUGUGUGUGUAUAUAUGAUGAUGUCGAAGACAGACAUCCUGUCUGUCUUCGACAGCUGCUGGAUUGACAAUUGGGCCGGUCCAGCAACUCCCAACGGCUAGCCGUUAUAUAUAUAUAUAUACAUAUAUACACACAUAUAUAUAUAUAUACACACAUAUAUAUAUAUAUACACACAUAUAUAUAUAUAUACACACAUAUAUAUAUAUAUACAUAUAUACACACAUAUAUACAUAUAUACACACAUAUAUAUAUAUAUACAUAUAUACACACAUAUAUAUAUAUAUACAUAUAUACACACAUAUAUAUAUAUAUAUACAUAUAUACACACAUAUAUAUAUAUAUAUACAUAUAUACACACAUAUAUAUAUAUAUAUACAUAUAUACACACAUAUAUAUAUAUAUACAUAUAUACACACAUAUAUAUAUAUAUACAUAUAUACACACAUAUAUAUAUAUAUAUAUACAUAUAUACACACAUAUAUAUAUAUAUAUAUACAUAUAUACACACAUAUAUAUAUCUAUACAUAUAUACACACAUAUACAUAUACAUAUAUACAUAUACAUAUAUACACACAUAUAUAUACAUAUAUACACACAUAUACAUAUAUACACACAUAUACAUAUAUACACACAUAUACAUAUAUACACACAUAUACAUAUAUACACACAUAUACAUAUAUACACACAUAUACAUAUACACACACAUAUACAUAUACACACACAUAUACAUAUAUACACACACAUAUACAUAUAUACACACUCAUAUACAUAUAUACACAC
RNAcentral lists this long non-coding RNA (2736 nucleotides) under Gadus morhua (Atlantic cod). RNAcentral describes it as "lncRNA (ENSGMOG00000036193.1)". The record is from RNAcentral. Lineage: Eukaryota; Metazoa; Chordata; Actinopteri; Gadiformes; Gadidae.